This 72-nucleotide transfer RNA is filed under the name Xenopus tropicalis (tropical clawed frog). Its description in RNAcentral is "tRNA-Ala (CGC) (tRNA-Ala-CGC-9-1)". It matches the Rfam family "tRNA". Rfam says of the family: Transfer RNA (tRNA) molecules are approximately 80 nucleotides in length. Their secondary structure includes four short double-helical elements and three loops (D, anti-codon, and T loops). Lineage: Eukaryota; Metazoa; Chordata; Amphibia; Anura; Pipidae. The record is from Rfam by way of RNAcentral.
GGGGGUGUAGCUCAGUGGUAGAGCGCAUGCUUCGCAAGUAUGAGGCCCUGGGUUCAAUCCCCGGCAUCUCCA